RNAcentral lists this ribosomal RNA (490 nucleotides) under uncultured bacterium. RNAcentral describes it as "partial 16S ribosomal RNA". It matches the Rfam family "Bacterial small subunit ribosomal RNA", at positions 30 to 507 of the family's 1533-position model. The record is from RNAcentral.
AUUGAACGCUGGCGGCAGGCCUAACACAUGCAAGUCGAACGGUAACAGGAAGAAGCUUGCUUCUUUGCUGACGAGUGGCGGACGGGUGAGUAAUGUCUGGGAAACUGCCUGAUGGAGGGGGAUAACUACUGGAAACGGUAGCUAAUACCGCAUAACGUCGCAAGACCAAAGAGGGGGACCUUAGGGCCUCUUGCCAUCGGAUGUGCCCAGAUGGGAUUAGCUAGUAGGUGGGGUAACGGCUCACCUAGGCGACGAUCCCUAGCUGGUCUGAGAGGAUGACCAGCCACACUGGAACUGAGACACGGUCCAGACUCCUACGGGAGGCAGCAGUGGGGAAUAUUGCACAAUGGGCGCAAGCCUGAUGCAGCCAUGCCGCGUGUAUGAAGAAGGCCUUCGGGUUGUAAAGUACUUUCAGCGGGGAGGAAGGGAGUAAAGUUAAUACCUUUGCUCAUUGACGUUACCCGCAGAAGAAGCACCGGCUAACUCCGUG